RNAcentral lists this ribosomal RNA (620 nucleotides) under uncultured archaeon. RNAcentral's name for it is "bacterial SSU rRNA". It matches the Rfam family "Archaeal small subunit ribosomal RNA", at positions 148 to 776 of the family's 1478-position model. The record is from RNAcentral.
UAUACCCUAUAGGUACAGAGCUGGAAUGCUCUUAAAUCAAAAGUUCCGGCGCCCUAGAUGGAUCUGCGACCGAUUAGGUUAUUGUUGGGGUAAUGGCCCAACAAGCCAGUAAUCGGUACGGGUUGUGGGAGCAAGAGCCCGGAGUUGGAUUCUGAGACACGAAUCCAGGCCCUACGGGGCGCAGCAGGCGCGAAAACUUUACAAUGCGGGCAACCGUGAUAAGGGAACCUCGAGUGCCUGUAAAUGCAGGCUGUUCAGAUGCCUAAAACACAUCUGGAGAAAGGGCCGGGCAAGACCGGUGCCAGCCGCCGCGGUAAUACCGGCGGCUCGAGUGGUGGCCACUUUUAUUGGGCUUAAAGCGUUCGUAGCUGGGUUGUUAAGUCUCUUGGGAAAUCUGGCGGCUUAACCGUCAGGCGUCUAAGGGAUACUGGCAAUCUUGGAACCGGGAGAGGUGAGGGGUACUUCGGGGGUAGGAGUGAAAUCCUGUAAUCCUCGAGGGACCACCUGUGGCGAAGGCGCCUCACCAGAACGGCUUCGACAGUGAGGGACGAAAGCUGGGGGAGCAAACCGGAUUAGAUACCCGGGUAGUCCCAGCCGUAAACUAUGCGCGUUAGGUGUAU